Molecule: ribosomal RNA, 248 nt
Filed under: uncultured bacterium
Lineage: Bacteria
Description: partial 16S ribosomal RNA
Rfam family: Bacterial small subunit ribosomal RNA
Source: RNAcentral
AAGAUGGCGACCGGCGCACGGGUGAGUAACACGUAUCCAACCUGCCGAUAACUCCGGAAUAGCCUUUCGAAAGAAAGAUUAAUACCGGAUAGUAUACGAAUAUCGCAUGAUAUUUUUAUUAAAGAAUUUCGGUUAUCGAUGGGGAUGCGUUCCAUUAGUUUGUUGGCGAGGUAACGGCCCACCAAGCCUUCGAUGGAUAGGGGUUCUGAGAGGAAGGUCCCCCACAUUGGAACUGAGACACGGUCCAA